Betta splendens (Siamese fighting fish) is the source of this 1059-nucleotide long non-coding RNA. RefSeq lists it as uncharacterized. The transcript is spliced from 2 exons. NCBI's taxonomy places the organism in Eukaryota, Metazoa, Chordata, Actinopteri, Anabantiformes, Osphronemidae. The record is from RefSeq and is a predicted model, not a curated record.
ACUGCCCCCCCCCCCACUCAUCCCCGCUUUCAGUAUGCACUUCACUGACCUUAACGCUUUGAACCUAAUGCUGUUGCUCGCUCCACCGCCUGCUCGUGUCCAGCUGAGCCCAGAUGCUUUCGGCCCCUCUCUCCUCUAUUCUCACGCCAAGCCCCUCUUACAGGCCACAAGGACGCCACUGUCGCUCCCUGCUCCCACUCGGUAAACAGUGUCAUCUAUGCGGGGUCUAAUCUCUGUCUGUGAGUGUGUGUGUGUGUGUGUGUGUGUGCGUGUGCGUGCGUGUGUGUGUGUGGGACAGCGCUCAGCCUCUCAUCUCGCAGCACGGGUGAAAUAGUGAGAGUUUCCAAAGAGGACGUCGUGCAUUAUUAAAGCCAAGUGAUGUCAUCGUUGUUAAAGCAGCAGCCAGAGGUCAGAGCCUAGUGAAGAUGAGGAGUCUUUGAAGAAGAGAGGAAGACCCCGUCUGCACCACAUUCAUGUUCAUCACUAGACACUAGCGCCAGAUUGCAGGUCGUUCUACUGUGACUUGCCUUUACUCUCCUUCUAUCAGCAUUAACAGCUGUUAGUCAUAUGGACAGAAUGUGCAGCCUAACGGCGUCGAGCAGGUGCUUGACACCUGUCAUCAUCAGCGUGUGACUAGACGAAGAAGGGAAGAGUAGGAUGACCGCAAUCCUUUUAUUUUGAAAAGGCCAUCAAAGAGGAAACGUGAAUGAAGACUUUUGCUGAUGAGCAAUUAACUAAGUUCUGCCUAAUUAUUACUGAUUAGGUUGUAAUUGAUGAGGAAUAAUGACUAAAACACAGCAUUCAAGCUGUAAUGAUCCAAAUCCAGCACCAGCCUUUUUCCUCAGUCAGCUUUUAAAAUCUGGGUCGUGAAUAAAUCUUUGUUUUACUGUAGCUUGUAGCGUCCUGCGUGUCGUCUGCCCAUCUGUGCUUCAUCCCCACUGCUCCUGUAGAAAAAGCCCACCUCAGCAACCUACUUAUUUAACCCCAAUCUCUAAAUCCAGGGACGUUGUCCUACUUUAAGUGGUUUCGUCAAAAAAAAAAAAACAUCCAAAAAACAAA